AUUUGAAAUUAUUAAGUGCUAUUUUGUUUUAGAACAACAGGUAUAAACAGUUGGAUGAUGAUUGAUGAUGAAGAUAAUUGUUGCACAGUAUUGGGCGCUCGUGUGAAGGUGUCAAUAAAUAAUGCACUUUGUCGUCUGCUGGUUGUUUUUUCAGUUAAUUUUAGCCACUACUUAGAAGCGAAUUCAGUAACACACACAUAAAACUAUUUUUUUUAGAAAAAUCAACAUCAACACCCCAUUACCUACGAUUUCUCAGCUCUAGACUGUUCGUCUGUUCCAUAACCGAUUCCAUUCUAAACAAAGCUGCUGACUGAUUAGGUUUUAGGAGAUUGAUUAAAAUCAGCGAUGUUAAUGAAUCAAGUAUCCUGUUCUUCUCGCCCAACAAAUUAUUCUUCUACACUUCCUACUUGCUGUCUUCCUACAAAUGGUAUCUCAUUAUUUCCUUCUCAAUCUUCUUUUCUGUUGUCUUCUCCUUCUUUUUCUUGCCGGAAUUUCGCAAUUGGAAUCCGAAAUUCUCCUAAGAAAUUCUUUCAAUUUAAGAAAUUGCGGGUGAGUUGCGGAACAAAUGAGCCACUCAAGGUUAUGAUUUCAGGGGCUCCGGCUUCUGGCAAAGGAACUCAAUGCCAAUCGAUUGUCGAAAUGUUCGGAGUGGUUCACAUAUCAACUGGAGACCUUCUUAGGGCAGAAGUUGCAGCUGAGACUGAGAUUGGAAUCAAAGCAAAGGAGUACAUGAACACAGGCCGUCUUGUUCCUGAUGAAAUCGUCACAGCUAUGGUUCGAGCACGGCUUUCACUUCAAGAUGUUAAGGAGAAAGGUUGGCUUCUUGAUGGCUAUCCAAGAACUGCAGCUCAAGCUCAGAGUCUUGAGGAAGUUGGGAUCAGACCAGAUGUCUAUGUUGUGCUCGAGGUUCCUGAUGAAAUUCUGAUCAACAGAUGUGUUGGCAGACGCCUUGAUCCAAUGACCGGAAAGAUUUACCACAUUAACAAUUUUCCUCCGGAGACAGAGGAAGUUAAAGCAAGACUUGUCACGCGCCCUGAUGAUACUGAGGAAAAAGUAAGAUCUCGUCUCGAGAUAUAUAAAAGAAAUGUAGAGGCAGUCUUGGCAACCUAUAUCAAAGUAAUGAAAAAGAUCAAUGGAAAUCGCACAAAAGACGUAAUUUUCGAAGAAAUAAGUUCGAUAUUGACCCAAUUGCAGAAUGAGAAAGUGAAGGCUGCUACAACAGGCAUUGCAGUAAUAAAAAGUAGCAGUUCCAAUCUUGCACCUCCAAACCAGUUAAAGUGGAGAGGAAUUCCUACAAGGUUGAAUAACAUUCCACAUUCUAGGGAAAUCAGGGAAUAUUUCUAUGAUGAUGUACUGCAAGCCACGCAGAGAGCUAUAAAUGAUGGGAAAACAAGGUUGAAGGUGGAGAUCAGUAUCCCGGAGCUGAACCCAGCAACGGAUGUUUAUAGAAUUGGGACUUUAAUGGAACUUAUUCGAGUCAUUGCUCUUACAUACGCUGAUGAUGGAAAAAGAGUGAAGGUUUGUGUCCAAGGAUCUAUGGGUGAAGGUGCAUUGGCAGGAAUGCCUUUACAAUUGGCUGGCACUAGGAAAAUAUUAGAGUUCAUGGACUGGGGUGAUUAUGAGGCCAAAGGGACAUUCAUUAACAUUGGCUCCAUAGGUAGCGAAGAGGUUGGAGAACAAGAUGACAUGUUUAUUCUAGUGGCUCCACAGAAUGCUGUUGGAAAUUGCAUCAUCGAUGACCUUAGAGCUAUGACUGAUGCUGCUGGGAGCCGUCCAGUUAUUCUCAUCAAUCCUCGUCUCAAGGACGUCCCUGGUUCAAGUGGAAUUAUGCAGACAAUGGGUCGAGACAAGAGGUUAGAGUAUGCAGCAUCAUUCGAGAGUUGCUACUCCUUUCGGCUUCUCUAUUAUGCAGGAACUCAAUAUCCAAUCAUGGGUGCUCUCAGAAUGUCAUAUCCCUUCCCAUAUGAAGUAUACAAGAGAGUUGAUGAAGCUCCUGGAAAAGAGAAGUAUGUCAUGCUAUCUACAUUCGAGAAGAAACCAACUCCUGAUGAUAUUAACAAUGCAUUUUUAGGGAAGCCAAGAGAAGUAAAGAAUACAUCUAGUUUCUGGGGUUUCUUAAGCGGAAUUCUGAGUUGAAUGCUGGAAAAAUGUGACAUCUGCCAUGAAGAACUUCAACUGUUGUAUCAAUUUUCAUCUGACUUCAGCGCCUCAUCUUCCUCCUGGUGCCUUCUUCAUCUUCGCCCACCAAUCAUUAGGCCAUAACUGUCGGCAGCCUCUUGGCUUUCAGUCACCUUCUGUGCCCAUUACCGCCGGUCGUUGGCAGCCUCUUCAGCCCAUUCAUUUCUGAAGGAUUAAUUAGACCCUCUUCACAAUUUGAAGCUGAAGAUCUAUAUCGAUUCUUACCCACCAUCACCUGGAUUUUCGAUAGUUUUUUUUCAUUUUUAUUUUGCCAUUUAUUUUUCGAUUAAUUGGGUAUGUGUUGAGUAAUUUGCUUAAGUUGAAGAGCUACAUGGAUUCUUCAAAAUUUUAAUCUUUUUUCAUAUUUAAGUAGAAGAUCUACAUGGAUUCUUCACAAUUUUAGUUAUUUUAAACUUCAUUUUUA
This is an RNA transcript of Amaranthus tricolor (Joseph's coat), 2602 nucleotides long. It is a transcript of the gene named adenylate kinase 5, chloroplastic, with no coding region annotated. The transcript has 21 exons. The record is from RefSeq and is a predicted model, not a curated record. Lineage: Eukaryota; Viridiplantae; Streptophyta; Magnoliopsida; Caryophyllales; Amaranthaceae.